GCUUGAAAAUGAUGAAAACAUAACAAACAUGGCCGCUGGGAUGUAAACAUGCCAACUGUCAAACAUUAAAAAACCGAUCUGGCACCACCCUUGCACUGUCAACAGUUUGAAAUGUAUGAAGAAUAUAAUGGGAAACACAGUAUGUUAUCGAAAUAAUUGUCAAAACCAACAACGAAAGCUGUCAUCGAAAUAAAUCGAACAUUUGUUGAACGUUUUACUUACUACUUGAUUAUUCUGGCG
This 240-nucleotide long non-coding RNA is filed under the name Mytilus galloprovincialis (Mediterranean mussel). The record is from RNAcentral. Lineage: Eukaryota; Metazoa; Mollusca; Bivalvia; Mytilida; Mytilidae.